GAUGAACGCUGGCGGUAUGCUUAACACAUGCAAGUCGAACGGACUCUUCGGAGUUAGUGGCGGACGGGUGAGUAACGCGUGAGAAUCUGGCUUUGGGUUCGGGACAACCACUGGAAACGGUGGCUAAUACCGGAUGUGCCGAGAGGUAAAAGAGAAAUUGCCUGAAGAUGAGCUCGCGUCUGAUUAGCUAGUUGGUGAGGUAAAGGCUCACCAAGGCAGCGAUCAGUAGCUGGUCUGAGAGGAUGACCAGCCACACUGGGACUGAGACACGGCCCAGACUCCUACGGGAGGCAGCAGUGGGGAAUUUUCCGCAAUGGGCGAAAGCCUGACGGAGCAAUACCGCGUGAGGGAAGAAGGCUCUUGGGUUGUAAACCUCUUUUCUUAAGGAAGAACAAAAUGACGGUACCUAAGGAAUCAGCAUCGGCUAACUCCGUG
RNAcentral lists this ribosomal RNA (435 nucleotides) under uncultured bacterium. RNAcentral describes it as "partial 16S ribosomal RNA". It matches the Rfam family "Bacterial small subunit ribosomal RNA", at positions 28 to 507 of the family's 1533-position model. The record is from RNAcentral.